This is a long non-coding RNA of Piliocolobus tephrosceles (Ugandan red Colobus), 1554 nucleotides long. Lineage: Eukaryota; Metazoa; Chordata; Mammalia; Primates; Cercopithecidae. The record is from Ensembl.
CCUAACUAGAAUAAACAAACCAUACAAUUAAGUUUAUUUUUUAAAAAAAAUUAUUUGUUCUUAAUAUAUAAAAACACAAAAAUUUGAUGUUAACAAAAAUAAAAAAUAACAAUAUAUAAAAAGGUUUGAAGACGACAGUAUAAGCGGGGGUAAAAACGUAGCUCAUAGGCGCCAUAUACAUAUACAUAUUUUUAAGAAAUGGAAAAAAAAAAUGAUGAACCAUUAAACGAAAUAAUAAUUAAUAAUAAAAUAGCUAAUAGUUUAUGUACAAAAAGUACAAUUAGUAACAAUAAAAAUAAUGAAAAUACAAAUGAUAAAAAAAAACUAAUUAGCGAAACGCUACCAUUUAAUAAUGAUAUUAUAAAUAUAUUAACAGAACAUGACCAAACCUGUUCAGAAAAAAAAAAAAAUAAACAGAAUGGCAAAAGCUAUAGUAGUUAUGAUGAAAAUAUUUAUACAACAAAAACAACCCAUGAUAUAAUAUCUCAUUCGGAUUCUUCCAUCGCGUCUAAAAAUAAAAAAGAAAGUAUAUUAACAUGUGAUGAAAAGCAAUCUUUCAAUUGUUUAAUCGAAUUAAAAAAUAAUUCAUAUUUAAAUGAAAAGUUGAUCAACAGUAGUCAGAAUUAUGGCACAUUUAAAAAAAUCAGUGACAAAUUUUUUCAAAGUGUGGUUGAAUAUGAUAAAGAAAAUGAUACAUUAGGGGAUUUGGAUAGUAAUAAUAGUAGUAAUAGUAAUAGUAAUAACAAUAGUAGUAAUAAUAACAAUAGUAGUAAUAAUAACAAUANNNNNNNNNNUAAUAACAAUAGUAGUAAUAAUAACAAUAGUAGUAAUAAUAACAAUAAUAGUGAAGAUAAAAAUUUUAAUGAAAAAGAAAAACAUCUUUUUUACAAAAAAGUUGAUGCACUACUAAAUUUAGAUGGCGAAGAUUCGCUUGAAAAUGAUAUAUUUAAUAGCAAUGGACCAGAUGAGGGUUAUAAAAAUGAAUUACAAACUGGUAGUUAUGUAGAGAGUGAAGGUGAACAAGUGUAUGGACAAACUGACGUACAGCGAUUCGAACAUAUGAGUGUACAGCCGUCCAAACAGGUGGACAUACAAACGCACAAGCGGAAAACCAAACGAAAAGUCUAUUUUUGUGAUGUUUCCAACAUAAAAGAAGCAAAAUUACAUGCGCUUUUGAAAACAAAUAAAUAUGAAAUUACAAAAAUGAAUAUGCCAAUAAAUAAUAAUAUAUAUAAAUAUUUGUAUAAGUGUAAGAAAAAUGAGACUACUAGAAAGGUAGGACUAGAUAUAAAGGGUGAUAUAACGAAAAACGACGAAGUAGAAAAUUCAACUGAUACUGCUAUGGUACUAGGAAAAAAUGAAUCAGCUGAAUCUUCCGAUUUAUCUAUUGAGCAAUUUACUUAUACUGAUAAAGUAAAAAAAAAUGAAAAAAAACAAAAAAGGAGUAGUGAAGAAGAAAAAAAUUGUGCGUUAAGUUAUGUAAACAUAAAUAAAAGUUCUAAUUUUUUUUAUUUUGAAUAUUAUAUGAGAAAAAGAAAAAUCAUAAAACUUGAC